RNAcentral lists this ribosomal RNA (748 nucleotides) under uncultured Bacteroidota bacterium. Its description in RNAcentral is "bacterial SSU rRNA". It matches the Rfam family "Bacterial small subunit ribosomal RNA", at positions 61 to 804 of the family's 1533-position model. The record is from RNAcentral. Lineage: Bacteria; Pseudomonadati; Bacteroidota.
GUCGUGGGGCAGCGCGGGUAGCAAUACCUGGCGGCGACCGGCAAACGGGUGCGGAACACGUACGCAACCUUCCUUUAAGCGGGGAAUAGCCCAGGGAAACUUGGAUUAAUACCCCAUAAGACAGUGGAGUGGCAUCACUCAGCUGUUAAAGCUCCGGCACUUAAAGAUGGGCGUGCGGCUGAUUAGGUAGUUGGCGGGGUAACGGCCCACCAAGCCGACGAUCAGUAACUGGUGUGAGAGCACGACCAGUCACACGGGCACUGAGACACGGGCCCGACUCCUACGGGAGGCAGCAGUAAGGAAUAUUGGUCAAUGGACGCAAGUCUGAACCAGCCAUGCCGCGUGGAGGAUGAAGGCCCUCUGGGUUGUAAACUUCUUUUAUUGGGGAAGAAACCUGACUUUUCUAAGGCAGUUGACGGUACCCGAUGAAUAAGCACCGGCUAACUCCGUGCCAGCAGCCGCGGUAAUACGGAGGGUGCAAGCGUUAUCCGGAUUCACUGGGUUUAAAGGGUGCGUAGGUGGGCAGGUAAGUCAGUGGUGAAAUCUCCGGGCUUAACCCGGAAACUGCCGUUGAUACUAUCUGUCUUGAAUAUAGUGGAGGUGAGCGGAAUAUGUCAUGUAGCGGUGAAAUGCUUAGAUAUGACAUAGAACAUCGAUUGCGAAGGCAGCUCGCUACACUAUCAUUGACACUGAGGCACGAAAGCGUGGGGAUCAAACAGGAUUAGAUACCCUGGUAGUCCACGCCCUA